CCUACGGGAGGCUGCAGUAGGGAAUGUUGCGCAAUGGGCGAAAGCCUGACGCAGCAACGCCGCGUGAGUGAGACGGCCUUCGGGGUGUAAAGAUCUGUUAGUGGGGGCGAAACUUGACGGUACCCACAGAGGAAGCACCGGCUAACUCCGUGCCAGCAGCCGCGGUAAUACGGGGGGGGCAAGCGUUAUCCGGAAUGAUUGGGCGUAAAGAGUGCGUAGGCGGCGAGUAAAGUCUGGUGUGAAAGUCCGAGGCUCAACUUUGGGACGGCACUGGAUACUUGCGAGCUAGAGUGCAGUAGAGGCAAGGGGAAUUCCAGGUGUAGCGGUGAAAUGCGUAGAUAUCAGGAGGAACACCGGUGGCGAAGGCGUUUUGCUGGGCUGUAAUUGACGCUGAGGACCGAAAGCCUGGGUAGCAAAUAGGAUUAGAUACCCCAGUAGUC
RNAcentral lists this ribosomal RNA (440 nucleotides) under uncultured bacterium. RNAcentral's name for it is "partial 16S ribosomal RNA". It matches the Rfam family "Bacterial small subunit ribosomal RNA", at positions 338 to 795 of the family's 1533-position model. The record is from RNAcentral.